This 1016-nucleotide ribosomal RNA is filed under the name uncultured eukaryote. Its description in RNAcentral is "SSU rRNA". It matches the Rfam family "Eukaryotic small subunit ribosomal RNA", at positions 777 to 1805 of the family's 1831-position model. The record is from RNAcentral.
AAAGCAGACCUGUUUGUGUCUGAAUAUUCGUGCAUGGAAUAAUGAAAUAUGAAUUCGGUUCUAUUUUGUUGGUUUUCGGAACUCGAGUUAAUGAUUAAGAGGGACAGACGGGGGUAUUAGUACUCUGCCGUUAGAGGUGAAAUUCUCGGAUCGGCGGAAGACUCGCAACUGCGAAAGCAUUUGCCAAGAAUGUUUUCUUUAAUCAAGAACGAUAGUCGGAGGUUCGAAGACGAUCAGAUACCGUCCUAGUUUCGACUGUAAACUAUGCCAGCUAACGAUCAGACAGCGUUCUCUACGACUUGUCUGGCAGUUUCCGGGAAACCAAAGCUUUUGGGUUCCGGGGGAAGUAUGGUUGCAAAGCUGAAACUUAAAGGAAUUGACGGAAGGGCACCACCAGGAGUGGAGCCUGCGGCUUAAUUUGACUCAACACGGGGAAACUCACCCGGCCCGGACACAGUGAGGAUUGACAGAUUGAGAGUUCUUUCUUGAUUCUGUGGGUGGUGGUGCAUGGCCGUUCUUAGUCGGUGGAGCGAUUUGUCUGGUUAAUUCCGAUAACGAACGAGACUCUGGCAUGUUAAAUAGUCGCGGAAGUAUUUUUGCUUACCGAUUUGACUUCUUAGAGGGACAAGUGAUUCUAGUCACACGAGAUUGAGCAAUAACAGGUCUGUGAUGCCCUUAGAUGUUCGGGGCCGCACGCGCGCUACAAUGAGUCGAUCAACGGGCGUUUUAUAUCCGAGGCCGAAAGGUCGAGGUAAUCCGUUGAACCCGACUCGUGCUAGGGAUAGGGAAUUGUAAUUUUUUCCCUUGAACGAGGAAUUCCCAGUAAGCGCAAGUCAUCAGCUUGCGUUGAUUACGUCCCUGCCCUUUGUACACACCGCCCGUCGCUACUACCGAUUGAAUGGUUCAGUGAGAUAAUCGGAUAGGUAACUUGGUAACUUGCAAAAGUUACCGAGCAUAUUUAGAAGACGAUCAAACUUAGUCAUUUAGAGGAAGUAAAAGUCGUAACAAGGUAGCCG